AAUUAAUCCUAGGUUGAAGGGUGGGCUGAAUCCGAUUAUCUCUUGCUACCAUUUCUCGAACAUAUCGCCAUCUAAACCUUUGCUUGUCAAGCUCAUCAUCGCAGGCAGAAGCUAUUAUGUCUUCUACUAUUGGGAUUUCAUCCGCGGGAGAUAAGCUCUUCGGUAUCGAACAGGAUGGUCCUUUCUUAAAAAGCUCUUGCACGUACUCCGGGAGAUUUAUGUCCCCUAAAACUACCACAGUAUCCUGUAAUGGAAGGUCUGUUUUCCGAGGCGUUAUGUGGUUACGCCGAAAAAUCCAUCAUAAUUUCUGUAUGUAUUUCAUCCUUAAACUCGCCUGAAAGGAGGCUUUCCGUGCAGCAAAUAUACGCAACCAGGAUUCGGAUCCUUGCAUUUGUUUAAGUCUAUCGAGGGCGAUCGCCUCAAGGUUUCGAGUUUUAAAAUAUCUUCUUUUGGCGUCAGCAAUGGCGACACUGAGGCAUAUCUUCUUGGUGUUCUGCAGGACCUUAGCAGAGUGGAUAGGUAGUUUGAUGGCAUCAAUAGUUCUGGGAAAGACUCGGUUGAUUUUGCAUUCCUUCAGGAAAAGCAUUGUUUCAUGCGUUCUAAUGCACUUUAUAGUAACUUUCUGGCAUCGUUUGAUGAGUUGGCUCAACUCUGCAUGAUCCAUAUUUCAGUUAAACAACUGCUCUAUUUUCUAUAAACAAUUAUCACAGUAAUUAUCACUAAGCACUCC
Molecule: long non-coding RNA, 730 nt
Filed under: Androctonus crassicauda
Lineage: Eukaryota; Metazoa; Arthropoda; Arachnida; Scorpiones; Buthidae
Source: RNAcentral